This is a non-coding RNA of Candidatus Beckwithbacteria bacterium, 82 nucleotides long. The record is from Rfam. NCBI's taxonomy places the organism in Bacteria, Candidatus Beckwithiibacteriota.
GGAGGAGUCGCCUAAUGGUUUGGCACAGGUUUGCUAAACCUGCGUCCGAAAGGACUUGUGGGUUCGAGCCCCACCUCCUCCG